AGGAGCUGGGUGACAAGGGGCACAGGAAGCCCUGCAGCCAGAGGGCAUGAGCCUGGAUAACUCCUGCCUCACCCAUCUCUGUGCAGAGGGAGAGGCACAGUGUUCAUCCUGCGCCAACCCAAGCACAUUCUGAGGCCAGGCUGCAGUCAAAGACGACACUGAACAGUCCUCCUUUGCUUUUGAGGUUGCUAUGACAGCCAGGAAUUUGCAAACCAAACUGGACCUGGAAAAGAAUUCUGUCCUUGGCCCCAAAAGUUUGUGGUUCCAAACUGUUUGCUGAGGGUUCCUGCUGUCUACUUUGAUACCUGCCAGAUGGAAGGAUCUCGGAACCUGGAAUCUGGAAACAUCCCAGUGGAAAGGUUACUUGUAAGUUGUCUGAAACUGUAUUAGAUGGAAUGUAGGUAUGAUACAAGGAACUUUUUGGCAGGAAAAGUUGAAAAAUAUUACCACUGGUCUCAGAGAAAACCUCCUUAUCUUGAAAAUAUUUUAUACCCAUUUACUCUUCUGUGGUUUGCUAAGAACUUUCACAUAAAUUAUCUAAUUGGAUCUUUAUAUCUGCCUGAUGAAGUAGUCAGAGUAGAUAUGAUAUUCAGCCAAUGACAAGGAAAAUUAGGUUUUGUAAUAACAAGAUCCAUAGCUAAUGAGCAGCAGUACUGGGACUUGAACUGGGCUUUCUGACUCAAGGUCUUGCUUUUUUAAAUUCCAUUGUGAUGAUCAAAAACACAAAACAGACUACAUCUGACAUGGACAGUUUAGGAGCAGGGUUUUUAUUUAUAAGAAUGUGAUUUUAGGGGCUGGGGAUGUAGCAGGGAAUGAACUCAGGGGCACUCAAUCACUGAGCCACAUCCCCAGCCCUAUUUUGUAUUUUAUUUAGAGACAGGAUCUCUCUGAGUUGCUUAGUGCCUCACCAUUGCUAAGGCUGACUUUGGCAAUUCUCCUGCCUCAGCCUCCCGAGCUGCUAUGAUUAUAGGUAUAUUAUUGAAGAGGGAUGAUUUCUCCUCAUUGUGGUAAAAUACAACAUAACAAUCUACCAACCUUUUUUUUUUUUUUUUUUUGGAACUGGGGGUUGAACCCAGGGCUUUGGGAAUGAAAGGCAGAUACUUUGCCACUGAGCUACAUCCCAACCCAAUCUACCAACCAUUUUAAUUUAUUUAUUUAUUUUAAAUAACUUUUUUUUUUACGUGGUGCUAAGUAUUGAAUACAGUGCCUCACAUAUGCUAGGCAAGUGCUUUACCACUGAGCCACAACCCCAGCUACCAACCAUUUUUAAAAGCAUAGUUCAGUGGCAUUAAGUAGGUUCACAUGUGCAACCAACAUUACCAUCAUCUUCACAACUUUCUCAUCUUCCCAAACUGAAAAUCUAGACCCAUUCUGGAAGCUACCAUUUUACUUUCCAUUUUCUGAAUUUGACCACUCUAUGUAUUUCAUAUAAGUGGAAUCACGCAGUAUUUGUCCUUUUAAAACUGGCUCAUGUUCCUUAAUAAAUUUCAUUCACGUUGUAACAUGUGUCAGAAUUUCUUUCCUUUUUAAUACUGAAUAAUAUUGCUUUGUAUAGCUAUACCACAUUUUGUUUAUCUAUUAGUCUGUUGAUGAACAUUUGCUUCUACCUUUAGGCCACUGCUAUGCUAUUAUAAAAAUGGAUGUGCAAACAUAUCUUUAUGACCCUGUUAUCAAUUAUUUUUUGGGAAUUGCUGGAUUGAAUGGUAAUUCCAUUUUUAUGUUUUUGAGGAACCAUCAUACUCUUUUUCAUAGUACCAUUUUAUAUUCUUACCAAUAGUACACAAAUGUCUCAAUGUCAUCAACACACCUGCUAUUUUCUCUCUGUGUGUUUUUCUAUUAUUUUGCCAUCCUAAUGAAGGUAUAGAUGGAUGAAUUUUAAAUACAUGGUGGUCUAGGCUGGAAUAUUUGGAGAGAUUAGAGAAUGGUCCUAAUAAAAUUUGCUUAGCUUCCAGUUGACGUGCCAGCCCUAAGCCCAACAGAAAUCUUCAAAAGGCAUUGUACUAGUCACCAGGGAAAGCACUUAAAACUUGAGCAAAUCCAUGACUUGCUGUUAGGGAUAAUUAAAGUACAGAUUAUUUCCAUAGGAGUUUCAUGUCCUCCAUAUGAGCUGAGUUCAUUAUACAGAUGCUUAUUAGAUAAAGAUGCCUCCCUCCAUAGCUAGAGAGCUAUGUACACAGGAGAUGGUAGGAAUCUAUGUAGGUGAAGAUGAAGCUGGAUAGUUGCUAGAAGGAUGGCCAAGGGGAUUGGAAGAUGCUCUUCCCAAACAGCUCUAGAGUCUUAGAAGAUACUUCCUAUAGCUGGGUGCGGUGGCUCAUGCCUGUAAUCCUAACAAUUUGACAGGCUGAAACAGGAGGAUUUCAAGUACAAAGCCAGCCAUCAGCAAUGGCAAGGUGCUAAGCAACUCAGUGAGACCCUGUCUCUAAAUAAAACACAAAAUAGGUCUGGAUAUGUGGCUCAGUGGUGGAGUGCCCCUGAGUUCAAUCCCCAGUACCCAAAAGAAGUUAAUUCCUUUGUGUGAGCUUCCUUGUUUACUCUUUGUCUACCUUUGCACACUUCAGAGGGACUAGUUAGAUUGGACUUUUUAUAUAUUUUUUUGAAUUGUAGAUGGACAUAAUACCUUUAUUUUUCAUGUGGUGCUGAGGAUUGAACCCAGUGCCUCACGUGUACUAGACAAGUGCGGUGCCACUGAGCCACAACCCCAACCCUAGAUUGGAUCUUUAAAGGACUUCAGAAGAAAAUACUCUGUGAGUACCAAAUUUAACUAUAUCUGAUCAUCUCCAGAGUCAUAGUUGUGCCAUAGUUGGAUUCCCAUAAUGUGGCUUGGAACAAUGGAGACGCUAAGGGCUGCUGAGUUUGGGACUGGAAACCAUGUUUGAAUCUCCCAACCUCAGGAAGUCCUCCCCACCUCAAAGACCCCUGUGCCCCAGAAAGCAGUUCCUGAUGACCCACAUGACAGCACUCCAUACCACUUUCCAGAGAACUGCACUGUGCCUUUCUUAGACCCACGACUAUGCUGUAUCUUAGAUUUCUAAAAGAAUAUUAUAUACCUCCCCACCUCCCAUAAAUUGGAAGCUCCAUGGAGGCAAACUCCAGUUCUGGUUUGCACAAAGUAGAAAAUAGAGUUUACCAAAAGCUCCCUAACAAAAAUUUUUUUUUGUGCCUAACUCAUUGUCUAGACCUGUGUCACAUGACCCUCCUGGGGGACAUGGGAGACUAAGAAAGUGGACAUUUUUCUUUUUAGCCUCUUAGGUGGAUAUGGGCAAAAAUGGGUGUUAGGAAUGGGAUUGGAUGAGCGAGUGAGCUCUGUCUAUCUGCUUUCUCUUUGUACAGGUCACAUUCUCUGGGAGGAGACACAGUUGGGGGAGAGGCCCACCCUGAGUUCUGGGCCUGGGUUCAGUUUCCCCCCUGUGCCCUGCUGUGCCCUGCUGUGUCCAUCAUGGGUCCACACCAAGCACAUUUAGACUCAUCGACUCUCUACUGCAACUGUGCAAGAUGGGGGACAGAAAAGAAUGAUUGAUUUCAAUUAGGUUUUGCCAAUUCCUACAAUUAAUAUUCCUAAUUAUGUUUAUCUCAUAUUCAUUAGGAAUACAAAGAGCUGACAAGCACUGGCAUUUG
This 3615-nucleotide long non-coding RNA is filed under the name Marmota monax (woodchuck). The record is from RNAcentral. Lineage: Eukaryota; Metazoa; Chordata; Mammalia; Rodentia; Sciuridae.